RNAcentral lists this ribosomal RNA (576 nucleotides) under uncultured fungus. Its description in RNAcentral is "eukaryotic LSU rRNA". The stretch from base 225 to 378 matches the Rfam family "5.8S ribosomal RNA". Lineage: Eukaryota; Fungi. The record is from RNAcentral.
AAGUCGUAACAAGGUUUCCGUAGGUGAACCUGCGGAAGGAUCAUUACCGAGUGCGGGCCCUCGUGGCCCAACCUCCCACCCUUGUCUCUAUACACCUGUUGCCUUGGCGGGCCCACCGGGGCCACCUGGUCGCCGGGGGACAUCUGUCCCCGGGCCCGCGCCCGCCGAAGCGCUCUGUGAACCCUGAUGAAGAUGGGCUGUCUGAGUACUAUGAAAAUUGUCAAAAUUUUCAACAAUGGAUCUCUUGGUUCCGGCAUCGAUGAAGAACGCAGCGAAAUGCGAUAAGUAAUGUGAAUUGCAGAAUUCCGUGAAUCAUCGAAUCUUUGAACGCACAUUGCGCCCCCUGGCAUUCCGGGGGGCAUGCCUGUCCGAGCGUCAUUUCUGCCCUCAAGCACGGCUUGUGUGUUGGGUGCGGUCCCCCCGGGGACCUGCCCGAAAGGCAGCGGCGACGUCCGUCUGGUCCUCGAGCGUAUGGGGCUUUGUCACUCGCUCGGGAAGGACUGGCGGGGGUUGGUCACCACCAAAAUUAUACCACGGUUGACCUCGGAUCAGGUAGGAGUUACCCGCUGAACUUAA